This 397-nucleotide unclassified non-coding RNA is filed under the name Entomocorticium sp. RNAcentral describes it as "partial 28S-18S ribosomal RNA intergenic spacer". The stretch from base 1 to 84 matches the Rfam family "Eukaryotic large subunit ribosomal RNA", at positions 3318 to 3401 of the family's 3401-position model. Lineage: Eukaryota; Fungi; Basidiomycota; Agaricomycetes; Russulales; Peniophoraceae. The record is from RNAcentral.
UUGAAUGGAACGGGGUACUGUAAGCGGUAGAGUAGCCUUGUUGCUACGAUCCGCUGAGGUUAAGCCCUUGUUCGACAGAUUUGUUCAAUCAAUGAUUGGACUUCUCUCUUCCUUUCUUCUUCCAUGCACCUGUACUUAGGGCCAGUCCAAAGGACUUGCGCCGUUCGAGGUGCAUGCAGGUUGAGGGAAGAGGGAGAAAGGCUUGACUUCUAUACACUGUGGCCUGGUAUUUCAAUAUGGCUUAGGGGACUCAUCUGCAUGCUUGCAUGUCGUGCUAGAGGCUUAAGGCGGGGCAUAGAGAGCCUCGCAAGUGCUAGAUGGGCAUCCGAGGCUUGGCCAUAUGGUGCGACACACACGGUAUCUGUUAUCCACGGCCAUAGGACUCUGAAAGCACCGC